RNAcentral lists this ribosomal RNA (450 nucleotides) under uncultured bacterium. RNAcentral describes it as "partial 16S ribosomal RNA". It matches the Rfam family "Bacterial small subunit ribosomal RNA", at positions 354 to 796 of the family's 1533-position model. The record is from RNAcentral.
GUGGGGAAUCUUCCGCAAUGGACGAAAGUCUGACGGAGCAACGCCGCGUGAGUGAAGAAGGUUUUCGGAUCGUAAAGCUCUUUCGUUAGGGACGAACGUGCUCUUUGUGAAUAAUGAGGAGUAAUGACGGUACCUAAAUAAGAAGCCACGGCUAACUACGUGCCAGCAGCCGCGGUAAUACGUAGGUGGCAAGCGUUGUCCGGAAUUAUUGGGCGUAAAGCGCGCGCAGGCGGGAUAUCAAGUCUGUCUUAAAAGUGCGAGGCUCAACCUCGUGAGGGGACAGAAACUGGUAUUCUUGAGUGUCGGAGAGGAAAGUAGAAUUCCAAGUGUAGCGGUGAAAUGCGUAGAGAUUUGGAAGAACACCAGUGGCGAAGGCGACUUUCUGGACGAUGUCUGACGCUGAGGCGCGAAAGCUAGGGGAGCGAACGGGAUUAGAAACCCGUGUAGUCC